AUUGAACGCUGGCGGCAGGCCUAACACAUGCAAGUCGAGCGGAUGAAGGGAGCUUGCUCCUGGAUUCAGCGGCGGACGGGUGAGUAAUGCCUAGGAAUCUGCCUGGUAGUUGGGGAUAACGUCCGGAAACGGGCGCUAAUACCGCAUACGUCCUGAGGGAGAAAGGGGGGGAUCUUCGGACCUCACGCUAUUAGCUGAGCCUAGGUCGGAUUAGCUAGUUGGUGGGGUAAAGGCCUACCAAGGCGACGAUCCGUAACUGGUCUGAGAGGAUGAUCAGUCACACUGGAACUGAGACACGGUCCAGACUCCUACGGGAGGCAGCAGUGGGGAAUAUUGGACAAUGGGCGAAAGCCUGAUCCAGCAAUGCCGCGUGUGUGAAGAAGGUCUUCGGAUUGUAAAGCACUUUAAGUUGGGGGGAAGGGCAGUAAGUUAAUACCUUGCUGUUUUGACGUUACCAACAGAAUAAGCACCGGCUAACUUCGUG
RNAcentral lists this ribosomal RNA (484 nucleotides) under uncultured bacterium. Its description in RNAcentral is "partial 16S ribosomal RNA". It matches the Rfam family "Bacterial small subunit ribosomal RNA", at positions 30 to 507 of the family's 1533-position model. The record is from RNAcentral.